GCGUCAGUGGUGUAGCGGUAACAUUGGAGCUUCCCAACCCGCUUGGAUCGCCGCAAGGCGAUAAAGCUGCUCUAGCCUCGGGUUCGACUCCCGGCUGACGCA
Molecule: transfer RNA, 102 nt
Filed under: Schizophyllum commune Tattone D
Lineage: Eukaryota; Fungi; Basidiomycota; Agaricomycetes; Agaricales; Schizophyllaceae
Description: tRNA-Gly
Rfam family: tRNA
About the family: Transfer RNA (tRNA) molecules are approximately 80 nucleotides in length. Their secondary structure includes four short double-helical elements and three loops (D, anti-codon, and T loops). Further hydrogen bonds mediate the characteristic L-shaped molecular structure. tRNAs have two regions of fundamental functional importance: the anti-codon, which is responsible for specific mRNA codon recognition, and the 3' end, to which the tRNAs corresponding amino acid is attached (by aminoacyl-tRNA synthetases). tRNAs cope with the degeneracy of the genetic code in two manners: having more than one tRNA (with a specific anti-codon) for a particular amino acid; and 'wobble' base-pairing, i.e. permitting non-standard base-pairing at the 3rd anti-codon position.
Source: RNAcentral